CAGUCGCCGCGGUAAUACGUAGGGUGCGAGCGUUAAUCGGAAUUACUGGGCGUAAAGCCUGCGCAGGCGGUUGUGUAAGACAGGUGUGAAAUCCCCGGGCUUAACCUGGGAACUGCGCUUGUGACUGCACAGCUAGAGUAUGGCAGAGGGGGGUGGAAUUCCACGUGUAGCAGUGAAAUGCGUAGAGAUGUGGAGGAACACCGGUGGCGAAGGCAGCCCCCUGGGCCAAUACUGACGCUCAUGCACGAAAGCGUGGGGAGCAAACAGGAUUAGAUACCCGGGUAGUCCCUGUCUCUUAUAC
RNAcentral lists this ribosomal RNA (301 nucleotides) under uncultured bacterium. RNAcentral describes it as "partial 16S ribosomal RNA". It matches the Rfam family "Bacterial small subunit ribosomal RNA", at positions 509 to 807 of the family's 1533-position model. The record is from RNAcentral.